CCUACGGAGAGCAGCAGUGGGGAAUAUUGGGCAAUGGGCGCAAGCCUGACCCAGCAACGCCGCGUGAAGGAAGAAGGCUUUCGGGUUGUACACUUCUUUUCUCAGGGACGAAGCAAGUGACGGUACCUGAGGAAUAAGCCACGGCUAACUACGUGCCAGCAGCCGCGGUAAUACGUAGGUGGCAAGCGUUAUCAGGAUUUACUUGGUGUAAAGGGCGUGUAGGCGGGAAAGCAAGUCAGAUGUGAAAACUCAGGGCUCAACCCUGAGCCUGCAUUUGAAACUGUUUUUCUUGAGUGCUGGAGAGGCAAUCGGAAUUCCGGGUGUAGCGGUGAAAUGCGUAGAUAUACGGAGGAACACCAGUGGCGAAGGCGGAUUGCUGGACAGUAACUGACGCUGAGGCGCGAAAGCGUGGGGAGCAAACAGGAUUAGAUACCCUUGUAGUC
RNAcentral lists this ribosomal RNA (443 nucleotides) under uncultured bacterium. RNAcentral describes it as "partial 16S ribosomal RNA". It matches the Rfam family "Bacterial small subunit ribosomal RNA", at positions 338 to 795 of the family's 1533-position model. The record is from RNAcentral.